AAUCCAACCUGGAGAUGUUCCAUGAAGGAAAUUCUGGAAAUUAUGGUUCUGACUUCUUUGCAAUGUAGAGGACACCACGGAAGGGGAUGACAAGGACUUUGAGUGAUAUUUCCCAAAACAUGUUCUCCAAGCUGUUAAUAUUCUAUGUAAAUGAAAGAAAAAGGAAGAAAGAAAAAGAAAGGAAGAAAAGAAGGAGGAAGAAAAAGAAGGGAGGGAGAAAAAAGGAAAGAAAAAGAAAAGACAAACUCGUGAGUUUGGAAAGCACUUUCAUUACAGAAAGAUUUAUCUGACUAUUAUGUUAAUAUCCAUGUGACAGUAAUAAAGAAAUCAUCUAUUGGAGAUAAAUAUAGAAUAGUUUCAAAACUUGCUUUCUCUAAAUCAGAGUGUCUGGGUUUAAGUGACCUUUCCCAAUGUUCUAUGUUCUUUGUCAAAUGACUUCGUCUCUCUGAUUUUAGUUCCCUGAUCUGCAAAAUAAGAUAAUGAUUAUGACCUCUGAAAUGGCCUGCAAUUAUCCUCUCACACUGUGUUCACACACUUGGUAGUCUCUUCCCCCAUGAGAAAGGACCGACUUUUAUAGCCCAUAGGAUGUUGCAGAGUUGUAUUCAAAGCUGAGUCAUGAAAGACACUGUAUCUCUUCCUUGCUCUCUCUUGGAUAACUUGUUCUGGAGGAAGCCAACUGCCAUGUCAUGAGGAUCCUCAAAGAGCCCAUUAGAAUGCCUACGUAGAGAAAAAGCCUUCAACUAAUAACCAGCACCAACAUGGCAGCCAUGUGAGCAAGCCAACUGGGAAGUGCACCCUGAGGACAUAAUCAAGCUCUCAGAGUACUUCAGCUAAGGCUGAUGACUUGACUGCAACUAACUGAGACAUGUUGAGCCUGAACUCCCAGUCAAGAUGCUACCAAACUCUUGGCCCAUAGAAAAGCAUGAGCCCAUAGAGAAGCCAUCCACUUUACCAGGCAUGAGUGGAAGAAACAGCAACGAAUCCUAAUACUUGCAGGAAAACUGAGUGUGUUGGAGUUUUUUAAAGAAAAAAUUCUCAGAGUUCCACAGUUGCAUUGAAAACUAAUAGACCACAGGCCGGGCACAGUGGCUCACGCGUGUAAUCCCAGCACUUUGGGAGGCCGAGGUGAGUGGAUCACAAGAGAUGAAGUCUUGCUCUGUCACCAGGCUGGAGUGCAGUGGUGUGAUCUCGGCUCAAUGCAACCUCCGCCUCCCAGGUUCAAGUGAUUCCCCUGCCUCAGUGUCCUGUGUAGCUGGGACUACAGGAGUGUGCCACCACACCCAACUAUUUUUUUUAUUGUAUUUUAGUAGAGACAGGGUUUCACCAUGUUGGCCAGAAUGGUCUCAAUCUCCUGACCUCGUGAUCCACCCACCUUGGCCUCUCAAAAUGCUGGGAUUACAGGCAUGAGCCACUGUGCCUGGCUGUGUAAUCUUAUGGGUGAAUAGCGACUGAUAUGAACAGAAUAUCUUUGAAAUUUGUAAGCCAAACUUGCAACUUUGAGGGAGAUAAAGAAACAAUUUACCAAACAAUAUGGAAAACACUGAAAUCCCCAAAGAAAGGGAAAAUUAAAUGUGGCUUUUACUAGGAAUUUACCAUAUUAACAUCCUACCUGGCACAUGAUAAGUGCCCAAUGAAUGAUAACCAAAAGAAAAAAACCAUAAUGUUAAGUGUGGUUACUGGCU
Molecule: long non-coding RNA, 1682 nt
Filed under: Homo sapiens (human)
Lineage: Eukaryota; Metazoa; Chordata; Mammalia; Primates; Hominidae
Description: HSALNT0055799
Source: RNAcentral